Molecule: long non-coding RNA, 479 nt
Filed under: Struthio camelus australis
Lineage: Eukaryota; Metazoa; Chordata; Aves; Struthioniformes; Struthionidae
Description: lncRNA (ENSSCUG00000003812.1)
Source: RNAcentral
CGGGCGGGGGGGGGGGGGGGAAGCUUUCCCACCACGGCCCGGGCUGAGAUUGCUGAAAUUCCUUCCUCGCCGGGGCUUUGCUCAAGGGCAACCUGGGAUGGGCGAGUUAACGGUGCUUGGAGGAGCAGGAGGCUGGGAGGGAGCAGGCAGGCAGGUCGUGCCUCUGCCGCCGGGAGCGAGGAGCCCUCUGCUCUCGGGGCGUCCCGGGCUACGGCGCGUGACGGGUUGCAGCCCGGGAAGGACGAACGAGCGAAGCCCUGAAUCAUGGUGGAAAUUGGAGCUGCAGAAACUCUCCUGGAAAACAGCAAGUGGAAGCGGGAGUUUCUCAGAGGCAAACCGUACCCUGGCAGGGGGCUCGAGGGCUGAUCUCGCGCUGGAUCGCCGGAGCUGCCGGGGAGCGGGGCAGCGGCUCGGGUGCGUCUCCCGGCGCUCGGUGCAAUAGCGAUUUCCCCUGCAGAAACACGCUCUUUGCUUUAGAC